This 252-nucleotide long non-coding RNA is filed under the name Ictidomys tridecemlineatus (thirteen-lined ground squirrel). RNAcentral's name for it is "lncRNA (ENSSTOG00000029867.1)". The record is from RNAcentral. Lineage: Eukaryota; Metazoa; Chordata; Mammalia; Rodentia; Sciuridae.
GGGCAUGGAUGAUAAAUGCAUAUGCAUGACAACCAGAACAGUGGACCUCACCUGAACCAGUGGUUGCAGUCCCUGCCUCUCUAGGUGUGCUACCACCUUGAGCUUCAGGGGUUGCUCCAGAUGAUGCUCCAGGGGUACCUGUGGUUCCAGAUGUGUUCUCACCAGCAGAGACAGUGGUGGUUGCAUCAGCUCCUCCUCCUGUUGCUAUUAGGAAGAAGAAUGGUGCUUAGUCUACACAGAGAGCUAGGAAGA